This 369-nucleotide ribosomal RNA is filed under the name uncultured bacterium. Its description in RNAcentral is "partial 16S ribosomal RNA". It matches the Rfam family "Bacterial small subunit ribosomal RNA", at positions 338 to 724 of the family's 1533-position model. The record is from RNAcentral.
CCUACGGGAGGCAGCAGUGGGGGAUCUUGCACAAUGGGGGGAACCCUGAUGCAGCGACGCCGCGUGGGUGAAGAAGCGCCUCGGCUCGUAAAGCUCUGUCAGCAGGGAAGAACAUGACGGUUACUAAAGAAGCAGCCCCUGCUAACUACGUGCCAGCAGCCGCGGUAAUACGUAGGGGGCACGCGUUAGCCGGAUGUACUGGGUGUAAAGGGGGCGCAGCCGGUGUUGCAAGCCAGGAGUGAAAGCACGGGGCCCAACCGCGGGACGUCACUGGAAACUGGGUGGCUUGAGUGCAGAAGGGGCAGGUGGAAUUCCAGGUGUAGCGGUGAAAUGCGUAGAUAUCAGGAGGAACACCAGUGGCGAAGGCGG